CACAUGAUCUAAAGUGGAGUCCAACAGGCAGUAACAAACACUGCAGCUUUUCUUACUUUCAGAGUGAUCUCUGCAAAAAAAUUAUAGCAAGAGGGCUUGGAGGAGCACCCUUGUGGACAGAAUGGAAAGGGAGAGUGUAUAGAGGAGAAAUGUGCAGCAAAAGGGAAGAGACAGGCAGCAGGACAUGGUAGCACUUUUCAAGCACCAGAUGGAUAUGCUGGAGACUAUUACAGACCCUCAGGCCCAGAACCAGCACACAACUGUCUGCAACUGCUCCGUGAAUUCCAGCAACAAUCUUGAAUUGAAUCUUUCUGUGUCUAUGCAAGUCAGCCUACAAGGUAUCGUCAUAUCCCUCAUGGCUCCUCUGGCAGCUCUGAAGGACCAGAUGAAGCACUUCAUAAAUGGAAAGGGCAAAUAUUUGGACCCCUGACCCACCAUGGUUGAAAAUCACAGAAGAAAAUGAAAGGCCAAAGACUAGUGAACAACACUUUCAUUCACCCCUGUUGAGAAGGAGUAAGACAGACUGAUGGCUUUUCUUGAAGGGGUGGAAAAUGAGUAUUAUCUAGGAUCAAAAAAAAUUCUACAAGAAUGUGGGCAUCAUCACAAGAAAAACAUAUAUAGUAUCUUAUUACUCACUGCAUGAUUAUUACAGAGCACACUAUACACGCUAUAAAAUGGGUCAGGUUGACUUACGUAUGCUGGAGGGGCUGGGAUGAAAUAAUGAAUAACUAAAGGGGCUGGGAUGAAUCUAAUGGGAAUGCCCAAGACUCAAGUCUUGCACAAAAGAGUGUUGAAUGACUUCCUGGAUGAUGCUGAACUAUUCAGGAAGGGGGUGCCAAAGAUCUUUGGCAUGAUGGGGGGAUGCUUGUGGAUGAGGAUGAAAAACAAAUGCCUGUGGAGUGGUCUGAGCAGGAGGCUAGCCAUGAAUAUCCAGAUGGGUACAGGGAAUAAGAGCAGGGGUCCUGGUUGGAGAUGCUCCUUAAAGGACUCCAUCAGAGACCUUUGCAAGUUCAGAUUUGGUUUAGACAUGGGCUGAGAGUGGAGCUGGUUCUCAUCUUAUUGGAAUUGCCUUCCAUCCUUAAACUGUAUACAUCUGAGGUCACAAUCUGGCUCUCUCAGAAGUACAGCAACUAUUGUAUGGGACACUGCCAUCUAUCCUUCUUCCACUCACAUGUUGUUGUGGAAAACAGUUGUUCUGCU
This is a long non-coding RNA of Trachemys scripta elegans, 1200 nucleotides long. RefSeq lists it as uncharacterized. Lineage: Eukaryota; Metazoa; Chordata; Testudines; Emydidae. The transcript has 4 exons. The record is from RefSeq and is a predicted model, not a curated record.